Molecule: ribosomal RNA, 397 nt
Filed under: bacterium E-2-48-6A
Lineage: Bacteria
Description: bacterial SSU rRNA
Rfam family: Bacterial small subunit ribosomal RNA
Source: RNAcentral
GGGGAACAUGUAUCCAGCCAUGCCCGCGUGUGUGAAGAAGGUCUUCGGAUUGUAAAGCACUUUAAGUGUGGGAGGAAGGGCUUACGGUUAAUACCCGCUAAGUUUUGACGUUACCAACAGAAUAAGCACCGGCUAACUUCGUGCCAGCAGCCGCGGUAAUACGAAGGGUGCAAGCGUUAAUCGGAAUUACUGGGCGUAAAGCCGCGCGUAGGUGGUUUGUUAAGUUGGAAGUGAAAGCCCCGGGCUCAAACCUGGGAAUUGCUUAUCAAAACUAGCAGGCUAGAGUACAGUAGAGGGUAGUGGAAUNGUCCUGUGUAGCGGUGAAAUGCGUAGAUAUAGGAAGGAACAUCAGUGGNCGAAGGCGACUANCUGGACUGAUACUGACACUGAGGUGCGA